GCUAAAUAAACUGGUGUUAGGAGCCUCAA
Molecule: non-coding RNA, 29 nt
Filed under: Homo sapiens (human)
Lineage: Eukaryota; Metazoa; Chordata; Mammalia; Primates; Hominidae
Source: RNAcentral